GACGAACGCUGGCGGCGUGCCUAAUACAUGCAAGUUGAGCGCUGAAGGUUGGUACUUGUACCAACUGGAUGAGCAGCGAACGGGUGAGUAACGCGUGGGGAAUCUGCCUUUGAGCGGGGGACAACAUUUGGAAACGAAUGCUAAUACCGCAUAAAAACUUUAAACACAAGUUUUAAGUUUGAAAGAUGCAAUUGCAUCACUCAAAGAUGAUCCCGCGUUGUAUUAGCUAGUUGGUGAGGUAAAGGCUCACCAAGGCGAUGAUACAUAGCCGACCUGAGAGGGUGAUCGGCCACAUUGGGACUGAGACACGGCCCAAACCCCUACGGGAGGCAGCAGUAGGGAAUCUGCGGCAAUGGACGAAAGUCUGACCGAGCAACGCCGCGUGAGUGAAGAAGGUUUUCGGAUCGUAAAACUCUGUUGGUAGAGAAGAACGUGGUUGAGAGUGGAAAGCUCAUCAAGUGACGGUAACUACCCAGAAAGGGACGGCUAACUACGUG
This 497-nucleotide ribosomal RNA is filed under the name uncultured bacterium. Its description in RNAcentral is "partial 16S ribosomal RNA". It matches the Rfam family "Bacterial small subunit ribosomal RNA", at positions 28 to 507 of the family's 1533-position model. The record is from RNAcentral.